ACGGGACACCUGCAUCUGCCAACAAGACUGGAAGCAGGUGAGGCACACAGAGGGGGAGGCCCGCAGCUGCGUGGGAGGAGGGGUGGUCUGAGGGACGUGGGAUGCCGGGAAUGAGGCUGGUUUGCAGGUUGGCGCAUGGACAUUUUCCCAGAAAGGGACAGAGACGGCGAAGUUUGACGGUCUGGAAAGCAGAGACCAGCAGGGCUGACUGCUUGGGAGCACCAAAUAUCCGGACAGCGCCUCUCGGGAGGUCCGAGAAGAGAACCGCGAUCUGUUUCAGCACCGGGGCUCAGGACAGUUCCCAGCGGGCUCCGUUUCGUCUCCAGAACCCUGGACAGCUCCUCCAGCCUCCCAAAGUGCUAGGAUUACAGGCGUGAGUCACUGCGCCUGGCCCAAGUCCGGAAUUUUCAACAGGACAUGGGUGUUACUGUGCCCAUGUGACAUUUGGGGAACCCAAGGCCCUGAGAAAGGCAGAAAAAUAACCCACGCAGGGACUCUCAGCCCACAAGUGAAGCUCUUGGAAUGCACUCCCUCCACCUCCAACCAGAGCUCCCCACAACUGACCCUGCCUUCUUCUGCAAGCUCCAUUUCAUCAAGGGAAACGAUCCUUAUUGCCUCACCAUUUCCCACGUGAAGUCUGUAUUGACAUUCUCAUAGACCUGGGAUAUUGUGUCUGCAGCACAUAGUCCAAUUAUUUUCAUGUUAUCUACUGACAGGUCUAUUUGUCUCCCUGUUACACUGUGAGCUCCGUGAGGGCAGAAACAAUGUUAGUAUUUUCACUGCUGUGUCCCCAGCGCCUGGUCCGGGGCCCGGCACACAGCAGGCAUAUAAUAAGCAUGUGUUGAAUCAAUAAAGGCAUCAAAGAAUAAACCAAUACAUCAAUCAAUAAA
This 890-nucleotide long non-coding RNA is filed under the name Homo sapiens (human). RNAcentral describes it as "HSALNT0395803". Lineage: Eukaryota; Metazoa; Chordata; Mammalia; Primates; Hominidae. The record is from RNAcentral.